Molecule: transfer RNA, 104 nt
Organism: Penicillium freii
Lineage: Eukaryota; Fungi; Ascomycota; Eurotiomycetes; Eurotiales; Aspergillaceae
Rfam family: tRNA
About the family: Transfer RNA (tRNA) molecules are approximately 80 nucleotides in length. Their secondary structure includes four short double-helical elements and three loops (D, anti-codon, and T loops).
Source: Rfam
GGUCUUAUGGUCUAGUGGUCAUGACACUGGUUUUUGAAGCGAUUCGAAUUGUCGAUUGUGAAAAUAUAAUACCAGUAACCCCGGUUCGAACCCGGGUAGGACCU